RNAcentral lists this ribosomal RNA (301 nucleotides) under uncultured bacterium. Its description in RNAcentral is "partial 16S ribosomal RNA". It matches the Rfam family "Bacterial small subunit ribosomal RNA", at positions 509 to 807 of the family's 1533-position model. The record is from RNAcentral.
CAGCAGCCGCGGGAAAACGGAGGGUGCAAGCGUUAAUCGGAAUUACUGGGCGUAAAGCGUGCGUAGGCGGCUUCUUAAGUCGGAUGUGAAAUCCCUGAGCUUAACUUAGGAAUUGCAUUCGAUACUGGGAAGCUAGAGUAUGGGAGAGGAUGGUAGAAUUCCAGGUGUAGCGGUGAAAUGCGUAGAGAUCUGGAGGAAUACCGAUGGCGAAGGCAGCCAUCUGGCCUAAUACUGACGCUGAGGUACGAAAGCAUGGGGAGCAAACAGGAUUAGAUACCCCCGUAGUCCCUGUCUCUUAUAC